CCGAGGCCGAGGAGCCGCUGCCUAGGCGGCUCUGUACCUGCCACAGCCGCCCGAAGGCCUCCAGGAAGCGCGGGGCUCGGCGCCCCACGCGCAGCCGGACCCGGCCAUGGUGCGGGCUGGGGCGAGGACACGCGAGCCGACACGAUGCGCCAGGCAGGCCCGCGGCGCCCGCCGUCACAUCCCCGCCCGGACCCGCGGCUCCGCAGGGAGGGGCCUGCAGCGCCCGCACCGACUCCCGGGACCUCAGGCUGCCAUGACACCGGAAGCGGGAGUGCUCAGACCAGCGGCCGGAAGUGGGAGAAAGCCAAUCCCACAGGCUGAAGGGGGAGGAGCAAAUUGGGGCGGGACCUCCAGGGGGAAAUUUUUGUUUAGCUAAGGACUAAGAAAUAUUAAACUUAAUUAUUAGA
This 407-nucleotide long non-coding RNA is filed under the name Rattus norvegicus (Norway rat). Its description in RNAcentral is "long non-coding RNA NONRATT008440". Lineage: Eukaryota; Metazoa; Chordata; Mammalia; Rodentia; Muridae. The record is from RNAcentral.